Molecule: ribosomal RNA, 253 nt
Filed under: uncultured bacterium
Lineage: Bacteria
Description: partial 16S ribosomal RNA
Rfam family: Bacterial small subunit ribosomal RNA
Source: RNAcentral
UACAGAGGGGGCAAGCGUUGUUCGGAAUUACUGGGCGUAAAGGGCUCGUAGGCGGCCAACUAAGUCGGAUGUGAAAUCCCCAGGCUUAACCUGGGAACUGCAUCCGAUACUGGAUGGCUUGAAUCCGGGAGAGGGAUGCGGAAUUCCAGGUGUAGCGGUGAAAUGCGUAGAUAUCGAGAGGAAUACCUGUGGCGAAGGCGGCCAACUGGACGAGUACUGACACUGAGACACGAAAGCGUGGGGAGCAAACAGG